Small nuclear RNA from Rosa rugosa (rugosa rose), 106 nucleotides. Lineage: Eukaryota; Viridiplantae; Streptophyta; Magnoliopsida; Rosales; Rosaceae. The record is from RefSeq and is a predicted model, not a curated record.
GUCAUUAUGGCAACAUCUGAUAAAAUUGAAAUGAUACUGAGGAGAAGAGUAGCAUAACUCCUGCUUAAAGAUGACAUGCAUAAAUCGAGGAACAACCAGAGCUAUU